Molecule: ribosomal RNA, 436 nt
Filed under: uncultured Bacteroidota bacterium
Lineage: Bacteria; Pseudomonadati; Bacteroidota
Description: bacterial SSU rRNA
Rfam family: Bacterial small subunit ribosomal RNA
Source: RNAcentral
CGCACGAGCGCACCCCUACUGUUAGUUGCCAGCGGAUAACGCCGGGGACUCUAGCAGAACUGCCAGCGCAAGCUGAGAGGAAGGUGGGGACGACGUCAAAUCAUCACGGCCCUUACAUCCUGGGCCACACACGUGCUACAAUGGUAGUGACAGAGGGCAGCCACUGGGUGACCAGGAGCGAAUCCCUUAAACACUAUCUCAGUUCGGAUCGAAGUCUGCAACUCGACUUCGUGAAGCUGGAAUCGCUAGUAAUCGCGCAUCAGCCAUGGCGCGGUGAAUACGUUCCCGGGCCUUGUACACACCGCCCGUCAAGCCAUGGAAGCUGGGAGUGCCUGAAGUCGGUAACCGAAAGGAGCUGCCUAGGGUAAAACUAGUAACUAGGGCUAAGUCGUAACAAGGUAGCCGUACCGGAAGGUGUGGCUGGAACACCUCCUUU